RNAcentral lists this ribosomal RNA (484 nucleotides) under uncultured bacterium. Its description in RNAcentral is "partial 16S ribosomal RNA". It matches the Rfam family "Bacterial small subunit ribosomal RNA", at positions 30 to 507 of the family's 1533-position model. The record is from RNAcentral.
AUUGAACGCUGGCGGCAGGCCUAACACAUGCAAGUCGAGCGGAUGAAGGGAGCUUGCUCCUGGAUUCAGCGGCGGACGGGUGAGUAAUGCCUAGGAAUCUGCCUGGUUGUGGGGGAUAACGUCCGGAAACGGGCGCUAAUACCGCAUACGUCCUGAGGGAGAAAGUGGGGGAUCUUCGGACCUCACGCUAUCAGAUGAGCCUAGGUCGGAUUAGCUAGUUGGUGGUGUAAAGGCCUACCAAGGCGACGAUCCGUAACUGGUCUGAGAGGAUGAUCAGUCACACUGGAACUGAGACACGGUCCAGACUCCUACGGGAGGCAGCAGUGGGGAAUAUUGGACAAUGGGCGAAAGCCUGAUCCAGCCAUGCCGCGUGUGUGAAGAAGGUCUUCGGAUUGUAAAGCACUUUAAGUUGGGAGGAAGGGCAGUAAGUUAAUACCUUGCUGUUUUGACGUUACCAACAGAAUAAGCACCGGCUAACUUCGUG